GUUUUUGGGGUCUCUUCCUCAACACGAGCAAUACUUCACCUUACGCUCUCCUGGACUCUGAUUGCACGCCGGCACACUUCUCCUUCUUGCAGAUCAUCGCACUGGUUCUCCUCUCGGUCAUAACAGUUCUGAUGACCUUCGUAGUCGUCACGACGGUGCUGCAGCAAUAUUUCCGCUCACCCAUACUCUCUGUCCGGAUCAGAGAAGCCUUCAGAAUAGACACCACGAUUAUCCAAGGAGUCUCGCAGUCGUCGUCUACCCAAAUCUUGACCGAGAGUGUGAAGGACCAGGUCAUCACGUGAACCUCCAGGACGCCAUUGAGAAAACGUCUCAUCUUUUUCUCCGGAUUUGAACGACGUCUCCGGACCUCUCGGUGUCGCCUCACCUGUUGCUGGGGAUAAAGGGAUUGUAGCCCGGGUCUUCUUCGGGUCUACGUGUCCUGCCUGGCCGCUUGCUAGUCAGAGCGCUUCAUCAGCUGUCGCUUCGAUGUGUGUGAAGAGGUCCUGGGUGUUGUACGCAUCGUCUCUAAUCACAUACGUAUUUUCUCGCUGGACUUCCGUUGAAAAAAAAAAUUGCUCGUAUUUCUUUUCUCACUUUCUGAUAUGUGAUAUUUACUACUCUGGGAAUAGGUGAAGCGCUGACAUCGUAAGAAUUUGCCAGAGUAGGUGUAGCGAUAACGUGAUUAUUAUUAUAAGCUAUUUAAUGUGACUUGGAAAGAUCCGUUCCAGAACACAAGCGGCGUCAGUGAACUUGAGAGCAAAGAUGUCUAUGACCCGUGGGUACUUUAUAGAAAACGGUUAUUCAGUAUUAAAGAAUAUCAGAAGUUUGAUUGACAGUAAAAAUGUGAUGUACGUAUUUUUCGGUUUGUAUUACGGGGAACCCUGAUUUUGCUGUAUAAACGAAAUAUUAGGCAAGUUUACGGUUAGAUUUUAGAAACGCUGCCUAUAAUGCGUUCAGUUACUGUUAUAUAACCAGAUGCAAUUCAUAGUCUAUUAACUUUGUGUAUUUCUAUUAAUAUAUGUAGAGAGAGUUAAUCAUCGGACAUUAGAAUGCUUAAUGUUUAUUUAAAAAAACAACACAUUUUACGCAUAUGCAUAUUUAUGUAUAACCCAUGACAGUGUAACUAUCACACCCAGCUACGUUGAUACUGUUUGACACCAAUGCACAGAUGUUUCGUUGUAAAUCCUCGAUGAAGUUAGGAGUAAAACGCUUCUCCCAAUGUCAGUCUUAUUCGGGUAUUGCUGCUGUAUUGAAGUUUGUCCACACGAACGGGUAUGAUCGGCGGGAACUUUUAAAUUCGCCUCAACCCGCACGCGCCCUUGUGCCACAGUUCGGCGAGCUGUGUCCCAACACUGGGCUACUAAGUAUGCGUGCAAAAUUGCAUUGUUGAUCACAUGGUGAAUUGGUGUCGGUGAUGGUUAAUACUGUAGGUUCUGAUUGAAAUAUAAUGACAAGAACAAACAAUAAUGAAAAUUCAAUACCUGUUGGAUGGGCAGUGUAUGGUAAUUCUGAAGAGCAGCCAACACGGGCACCGUACCGGGUUGCCCGCGUGCCAACCCCAUUAACAUACAAAACUGCUUGUGUGGAAGGGCCUUUACUUAGUGUAGAUCUUGCUAGUAUUACUAUUAUAGCAACUUAUUUUUGAGCUAGAUAGUUAUGAUGGCAUGAUUUCUUGCUUGGUUAUUUACAGCUUUCCAUGUAAAGGAACUUUUUUUAACCGUCACUGCAUGUAAAAGGCACCCGAUGCUCUUUUUAUGAAUUAUUAAUUUAUAAUUUGUGAUCGUUAGGUAUUUGAAGGGACACUUUUAUAUCCCUUUGGCUCAGCUUAUAGGUUCGCAGAAUAUAAACAAUAUAAGUUGUGCUGACAAUACAGCAUACUUGUUUGUGCUACUGUGUUCACUGUAUAGCGAGAAAACAAGUAGGACAGCAUACACCGUGGAAUAUAUUGAAACUUCCCGAGUGCUUGUGUAAAGUCCGAACGCCAGCUUGUAAACGAGACAAACCAGUUUCUUCAAUGUUUUAUCAGAACCCGGGAGAUGUACACCAGGAAUAUGCUGGAUGUGAGAACUGUUAAACCAAGCUUUAUUAUGUAUUUAGUCCGAUUAUGCUAUACUAGAUAAUAAUGAAAAGUUUCUUCCCUAUGUUUUAUCAGAACCGAUUUCUAUCUCUACAUAAUACCUCACAUGUCUGAAAUAAAGUAUUGUGUACUUUAUAAUUUGUUCCAAGUUGUGGAAAUGCACACAAAUAAAUAAAAUUAUUAUAACUGA
Non-coding RNA from Penaeus vannamei (Pacific white shrimp), 2267 nucleotides. The record is from RefSeq and is a predicted model, not a curated record. NCBI's taxonomy places the organism in Eukaryota, Metazoa, Arthropoda, Malacostraca, Decapoda, Penaeidae.